RNAcentral lists this ribosomal RNA (495 nucleotides) under uncultured bacterium. Its description in RNAcentral is "bacterial SSU rRNA". It matches the Rfam family "Bacterial small subunit ribosomal RNA", at positions 28 to 478 of the family's 1533-position model. The record is from RNAcentral.
GAUGAACGCUGGCGGCGUGCCUAAUACAUGCAAGUCGAACGCAUUGUGGUUGAAAUGAUAUGAAGAACUUGUUCAGAUUUGAUUUUCAACAUUGCAAUGAGUGGCGAACGGGUGAGUAACACGUGGGAAACCUACCUCUUAGCAGGGGAUAACAUUUGGAAACAAAUGCUAAUACCGUAUAAUAAUUAAAAACCGCAUGGUUUUAGUUUAAAAGAUGGUCUUGCUAUCACUAAGAGAUGGUCCCGCGGUGUAUUAGUUAGUUGGUGAGGUAAUGGCUCACCAAGACAAUGAUACAUAGCCGAGUUGAGAGACUGACCGGCCACAAUGGGACUGAGACACGGCCCAUACUCCUACGGGAGGCAGCAGUAGGAAUCUUCCACAAUGGACGAAAGUCUGAUGGAGCAACGCCGCGUGUGUGAUGAAGGGUUUCGGCUCGUAAAACACUGUUGUAAGAGAGAAUGACAUUGAGAGUAACUGUUCAAUGUGUGACGGUAU